CGGCAGGCCUAACACAUGCAAGUCGAGCGGUAGCACAGAGAGCUUGCUCUCGGGUGACGAGCGGCGGACGGGUGAGUAAUGUCUGGGAAACUGCCUGAUGGAGGGGGAUAAUCUACUGGAAACGGUAGCUAAUACCGCAUAAUGUCGCAAGACCAAAGAGGGGGACCUUCGGGCCUCUUGCCAUCAGAUGUGCCCAGAUGGGAUUAAGCUAGUAGGUGGGGUAAUGGCUCACCUAGGCGACGAUCCCUAGCUGGUCUGAGAGGAUGACCAGCCACACUGGAACUGAGACACGGUCCAGACUCCUACGGGAGGCAGGCAGUGGGGAAUAUUGCACAAUGGGCGCAAGCCUGAUGCAGCCAUGCCGCGUGUAUGAAGAAGGCCUUCGGGUUGUAAAGUACUUUCAGCGAGGAGGAAGGCAUUGUGGUUAAUAACCACAGUGAUUGACGUUACUCGCAGAAGAAGCACCGGCUAACUCCGUGCCAGCAGCCGCGGUAAUACGGAGGGUGCACGCGUAAUCGGAAUUACUGGGCGUAAAGCGCACGCAGGCGGUCUGUCAAGUCGGAUGUGAAAUCCCCGGGCUCAACCUGGGAACUGCAUUCGAAACUGGCAGGCUAGAGUCUUGUAGAGGGGGGUAGAAUUCCAGGUGUAGCGGUGAAAUGCGUAGAGAUCUGGAGGAAUACCGGUGGCGAAGGCGGCCCCCUGGACAAAGACUGACGCUCAGGUGCGAAAGCGUGGGGAGCAAACAGGAUUAGAUACCCUGGUAGUCCACGCCGUAAACGAUGUCGACUUGGAGGUUGUUCCCUUGAGGAGUGGCUUCCGGAGCUAACGCGUUAAGUCGACCGCCUGGGGAGUACGGCCGCAAGGUUAAAACUCAAAUGAAUUGACGGGGGCCCGCACAAGCGGUGGAGCAUGUGGUUUAAUUCGAUGCAACGCGAAGAACCUUACCUACUCUUGACAUCCAGAGAACUUAGCAGAGAUGCUUUGGUGCCUUCGGGAACUCUGAGACAGGUGCUGCAUGGCUGUCGUCAGCUCGUGUUGUGAAAUGUUGGGUUAAGUCCCGCAACGAGCGCAACCCUUAUCCUUUGUUGCCAGCGGUUCGGCCGGGAACUCAAAGGAGACUGCCAGUGAUAAACUGGAG
Molecule: ribosomal RNA, 1138 nt
Filed under: Lelliottia amnigena
Lineage: Bacteria; Pseudomonadati; Pseudomonadota; Gammaproteobacteria; Enterobacterales; Enterobacteriaceae
Description: bacterial SSU rRNA
Rfam family: Bacterial small subunit ribosomal RNA
Source: RNAcentral